CACGGGUGGCUGCAGUGGGGAAUAUUGGACAAUGGGCGAAAGCCUGAUCCAGCCAUGCCGCGUGUGUGAAGAAGGCCUUCGGGUUGUAAAGCACUUUCAGUGGGGAAGAAAGCCUUGGGGCUAAUACCCUCGAGGAAGGACAUCACCCACAGAAGAAGCACCGGCUAACUCCGUGCCAGCAGCCGCGGUAAUACGGAGGGUGCGAGCGUUAAUCGGAAUUACUGGGCGUAAAGCGCGCGUAGGCGGUCUGAUAAGCCGGUUGUGAAAGCCCCGGGCUCAACCUGGGAACGGCAUCCGGAACUGUCAGGCUAGAGUGCAGGAGAGGAAGGUAGAAUUCCCGGUGUAGCGGUGAAAUGCGUAGAGAUCGGGAGGAAUACCAGUGGCGAAGGCGGCCUUCUGGACUGACACUGACGCUGAGGUGCGAAAGCGUGGGUAGCAAACAGGAUUAGAUACCCUUGUAGUC
Molecule: ribosomal RNA, 463 nt
Filed under: Vreelandella stevensii
Lineage: Bacteria; Pseudomonadati; Pseudomonadota; Gammaproteobacteria; Oceanospirillales; Halomonadaceae
Description: partial 16S ribosomal RNA
Rfam family: Bacterial small subunit ribosomal RNA
Source: RNAcentral